Styela clava is the source of this 157-nucleotide non-coding RNA. Lineage: Eukaryota; Metazoa; Chordata; Ascidiacea; Stolidobranchia; Styelidae. The record is from RefSeq and is a predicted model, not a curated record.
AAACAUUUUAUCAAUAUCUCACUACAGAAAAAAGUCAUACGUCAGAAUUGCGUUGAAAAAAUAUGACUUCAAUGAAAAAAAAAUUGGGGAAUUCACCUCGACCAUUGGCGAAAAGAAGAAAACAAGAUGGCGGCGAUUCUAAAUUUAGCUCUGAACC